GUGUUGGCUUGUUGGCAGUCCUCCUGCAGGCAGAAUUGUCUGGCUCCUGACUGCUGCAGACGUUUGCAAGGGCAGGAGGGGACCACCUGUGCCAACGCUGUAGCUAGGAGCCGAACCACUGCAACACUGUGGCUCUAGAACCCAACCCAGAGAGACUAUCCAGAAGGAUACCAUGUGCUGAGAAGUGCAAAAGAACCAACAGAAGCACACUCUCCGUGACUCGCUCUUGGAAUAGGUCAUCCAUCAGAUCAACAAAGGAACUUUCCAUUCCAAAGCCAGACCCAAAGCCCCACAUAAAUGAUGCAGAUCCUAGAUUCUUUCCAAAAUCUACAUCACCAGCACACCAUCCGGAGUUUCCAGGAAUUGAUCCACUGGUUCAGAAGACACACAGGGAUAUUUGUACAUCAGAAUUCUUACUUUUGUGGUUGGCCCUCCAAAACAAAUAACCUCUGGUGGCCUCGUUUGAGUUGUGUGUGUGUGUGUGUGUGUGUGUGUGUGUGUGUGAGAGAGAGAG
Podarcis raffonei (Aeolian wall lizard) is the source of this 514-nucleotide long non-coding RNA. RefSeq lists it as uncharacterized. The transcript is spliced from 3 exons. The record is from RefSeq and is a predicted model, not a curated record. NCBI's taxonomy places the organism in Eukaryota, Metazoa, Chordata, Lepidosauria, Squamata, Lacertidae.